RNAcentral lists this ribosomal RNA (253 nucleotides) under uncultured prokaryote. Its description in RNAcentral is "partial 16S ribosomal RNA". It matches the Rfam family "Bacterial small subunit ribosomal RNA", at positions 525 to 777 of the family's 1533-position model. The record is from RNAcentral.
ACGAAGGGGGCUAGCGUUGUUCGGAAUUACUGGGCGUAAAGCGCACGUAGGCGGACUGAUAAGUCAGGGGUGAAAUCCCGGGGCUCAACUCCAGAACUGCCUUUGAUACUGAGGAUCUUGAGUUCGGGAGAGGUGAGUGGAACUGCGAGUGUAGAGGUGAAAUUCGUAGAUAUUCGCAAGAACACCAGUGGCGAAGGCGGCUCACUGGCCCGAUACUGACGCUGAGGCACGAAAGCGUGGGGAGCAAACAGGA